RNAcentral lists this ribosomal RNA (1265 nucleotides) under metagenome. RNAcentral describes it as "bacterial SSU rRNA". It matches the Rfam family "Bacterial small subunit ribosomal RNA", at positions 8 to 1271 of the family's 1533-position model. The record is from RNAcentral.
AGAGUUUGAUCAUGGCUCAGGAUGAACGCUAGCGACAGGCUUAACACAUGCAAGUCGAGGGGCGGCAUGGGGUAGCAAUACCCCGGUGGCGACCGGCGCACGGGUGAGUAACACGUGUGCAACCAACCCCGUACCGGGAGAUAACCCGCGGAAACGUGGACUAACACCCCAUAAGACCUUUCCCCCGCAUGGGGGGGAGUUUAAAACCCCGGUGGUACGGGACGGGCACGCGCGACAUUAGGUAGUUGGCGGGGUAACGGCCCACCAAGCCGACGAUGUCUAGGGGUUCUGAGAGGAAGGUCCCCCACACUGGAACUGAGACACGGUCCAGACUCCUACGGGAGGCAGCAGUGAGGAAUAUUGGUCAAUGGGCGAGAGCCUGAACCAGCCAAGUCGCGUGAGGGAAGAAUGGUCUAUGGCCUGUAAACCUCUUUUGUCAAGGAAGAACAUGUAGUACGUGUACUACCCUGCCAGUACUUGACGAAUAAGCAUCGGCUAACUCCGUGCCAGCAGCCGCGGUAAUACGGGGGAUGCGAGCGUUAUCCGGAUUUAUUGGGUUUAAAGGGCGCGUAGGCGGGACGUCAAGUCAGCGGUAAAAGACUGCAGCUAAACUGUAGCACGCCGUUGAAACUGUCGACCUGGAGACGAGACGAGGGAGGCGGAACAAGUGAAGUAGCGGUGAAAUGCAUAGAUAUCACUUGGAACCCCGAUAGCGAAGGCAGCUUCCCAGGCUCGAUCUGACGCUGAUGCGCGAGAGCGUGGGUAGCGAACAGGAUUAGAUACCCUGGUAGUCCACGCCGUAAACGAUGCUCACUGGAUCUUGGCGAUACACGGCCAGGGUUCAAGCGAAAGUAUUAAGUGAGCCACCUGGGGAGUACGUCGGCAACGAUGAAACUCAAAGGAAUUGACGGGGGCCCGCACAAGCGGAGGAACAUGUGGUUUAAUUCGAUGAUACGCGAGGAACCUUACCCGGGUUUAAAUGCAGGUUGCAUGAGGUGGAAACACCUCUUUCCCUCGGGACUACCUGCAAGGUGCUGCAUGGUUGUCGUCAGCUCGUGCCGUGAGGUGUCGGGUUAAGUCCCAUAACGAGCGCAACCCCUAUCGCCAGUUGCCAUCGGUUUCGGCCGGGCACUCUGUCGAGACUGCCACCGUAAGGUGCGAGGAAGGCGGGGAUGACGUCAAAUCAGCACGGCCCUUACACCCGGGGCGACACACGUGUUACAAUGGCCGGUACAGAGGGCAGCCACGGGGCGACCCGGAGCGAA